UACGAAGGGGGCUAGCGUUGUUCGGAAUUACUGGGCGUAAAGGGCGCGUAGGCGGUGUGUCAAGUCAGGCGUGAAAGCCCCGGGCUCAACCUGGGAACCGCGCUUGAGACUGGCACGCUCGAGUUCGGGAGAGGAUGGUGAAUUCCCAGUGUAGAGGUGAAAUUCGUAGAUAUUGGGAAGAACACCGAUGGCGAAGGCAGCCAUCUGGACCGACACUGACGCUGAGGCGCGAAAGCGUGGGGAGCAACAGG
This 251-nucleotide ribosomal RNA is filed under the name uncultured bacterium. RNAcentral describes it as "partial 16S ribosomal RNA". It matches the Rfam family "Bacterial small subunit ribosomal RNA", at positions 524 to 775 of the family's 1533-position model. The record is from RNAcentral.